Molecule: transfer RNA, 99 nt
Filed under: Chloroflexota bacterium
Lineage: Bacteria; Bacillati; Chloroflexota
Description: tRNA-Lys
Source: RNAcentral
AGGUCAGCGGAAAUCCAGUACUGAGCAUCACUGUCCGGACAGCCGCUGGCGCGACUUUUAAUCCAUUGGUUCAGGGUUCGAAUCCCUGGGGGGCCACCA